GACGAACGUUGGCGGCGUGCUUAAUACAUGCAAGUCAACUGAAGCAGUGGUAGCAAUAUCGCUGUGGAGGUGGCGCACGGGUGAGUAACACGUAGGUAAUCUGCCUUCAGGUCUGGCAUAGCUCCGGGAAACCGGGGCUAAUAGCAGAUGAUGCAGCGGCUCGACAUCGAGACAGUUGUUAAAGCUAUGGCGCCUGAAGAUGAGCCUGCGUCUGAUUAGCUAGUUGGCGGGGUAACGGCCCACCAAGGCAACGAUCAGUAGCUGGUCUGAGAGGAUGAUCAGCCACACUGGAACUGAGACACGGUCCAGACUCCUACGGGAGGCAGCAGUAAGGAAUAUUGCUCAAUGGGUGAAAUCCUGAAGCAGCAACGCCGCGUGAGGGACGAAGGGCUUUUGCUUGUAAACCUCUGUAGUGAGAGAAAAAAAUCCCAAUCUUUGGGACAUGAUGGUAUCUCAAAAGUAAGCCCCGGCUAACUACGUG
This 481-nucleotide ribosomal RNA is filed under the name uncultured bacterium. RNAcentral describes it as "partial 16S ribosomal RNA". It matches the Rfam family "Bacterial small subunit ribosomal RNA", at positions 28 to 507 of the family's 1533-position model. The record is from RNAcentral.